UGGGGAAUAUUGCACAAUGGGCGCAAGCCUGAUGCAGCCAUGCCGCGUGUGUGAAGAAGGCCUUCGGGUUGUAAAGCACUUUCAGCGGGGAGGAAGGCGUUAAGGUUAAUAACCUGGGCGAUUGACGUUACCCGCAGAAGAAGCACCGGCUAACUCCGUGCCAGCAGCCGCGGUAAUACGGAGGGUGCAAGCGUUAAUCGGAAUUACUGGGCGUAAAGCGCACGCAGGCGGUCUGUCAAGUCGGAUGUGAAAUCCACGGGCUCAACCUGGGAAAUGCAUUCGAAACUGGCAGGCUAGAGUCUCGUAGAGGGGGGUAGAAUUCCAGGUGUAGCGGUGAAAUGCGUAGAGAUCUGGAGGAAGACCGGUGGCGAAGGCGGCCCCCUGGACGAAGACUGACGCUCAGGUGCGAAAGAGUGGGGAGCAAACAGG
Molecule: ribosomal RNA, 429 nt
Filed under: Chloroflexota bacterium
Lineage: Bacteria; Bacillati; Chloroflexota
Description: Chloroflexi bacterium partial 16S ribosomal RNA
Rfam family: Bacterial small subunit ribosomal RNA
Source: RNAcentral